Long non-coding RNA from Brassica rapa (field mustard), 957 nucleotides. RefSeq lists it as uncharacterized. The record is from RefSeq and is a predicted model, not a curated record. Lineage: Eukaryota; Viridiplantae; Streptophyta; Magnoliopsida; Brassicales; Brassicaceae.
AAGAAACUAUUCGAAUUUACAUUUCUUGCCACUACUCACAGAUUUCGCAGCUGCGGUUUGGACUUAGCUGCAACAGUUAUCUUCUUUUAAAAAAAACAGAUGUGAUCAAGUCAAUUUUUUUCAGGCAUCCAGAUGAUUAUUAACAAAAAAAUUGUUUGAGCUGGAAUCUGAACUUCGUGUCCUGGAAAGCCUCUGGCAGCUGAAACUGGGGUAAGAUUUUGUAUUCUUUUAUCUUUAACUUGGAUGGGGGCAACCAGAGGUAUUAUUUUGUUGUUCAAAGAGUUGAAUCCAAACAGUCUUUAGGAGAAGAAGCAAAAAUUUACCUGAGAAAAGUUAUACAACAGCUUUCUGUGUAGGUUUUUUUCUUAUAUGUUGACAUAAAUACGUAGGUGAAACUCUGAACACCUGAAGAGGGCGAUUUAUGUACAUUUGAAUCUACAGAUUGAGAAUUCACUUCCAAACUCAAACGAACAGCAAUGCUCUCUAUUCAGAGAUCAUGUGGAGAGAUCCCAGAGCUUUUUACACAAAUUUCUAUCAUGGCCGCUGGAACUGGAAGCACUGCUCUUUUCACUGUGAUUUGUAGCUUGCUUCAAGGCGUGUACCCUUUUGCGCAAACAAGUUCUUCAACGCUGGACUUGGUUUCAGUUUGCUCAUACUGCUUUGGGCUGUGGAUAGACUCGGGAGGUGAUUACUUCGUGCAUACUUCUUCCAUGGGUAAAACAACACUAAACCCUAAAUACUAAACACUAAACUCUAAAUCUUUGGAUAAACCAUAAACCCUAAUGUUUAGUGUUUUUGAUUUAGGUUUUAGGAUGUAUCCAAGGAUUUAUGCUUUACCCAAGGAUUUAGAAUUUAUCUAAGGAUUUAAGAUCUAUGGUUUGGUGUUUUGCCGACUAUGUUAAAAAUAUUUAAAAAGUUUUUUUUUUUUUGCAGUUUGUACUAUGUUUUAUGUAUUUA